This 253-nucleotide ribosomal RNA is filed under the name uncultured bacterium. RNAcentral's name for it is "partial 16S ribosomal RNA". It matches the Rfam family "Bacterial small subunit ribosomal RNA", at positions 524 to 776 of the family's 1533-position model. The record is from RNAcentral.
UACGAAGGGGGCUAGCGUUGCUCGGAAUGACUGGGCGUAAAGGGCGCGUAGGCGGCUCAUACAGUCAGAUGUGAAAUUCCUGGGCUUAACCUGGGGGCUGCAUUUGAUACGUGUGGGCUUGAGUGGGGAAGAGGGUCGUGGAAUUCCCAGUGUAGAGGUGAAAUUCGUAGAUAUUGGGAAGAACACCGGUGGCGAAGGCGGCGACCUGGUCCUUGACUGACGCUGAGGCGCGAAGGCCAGGGGAGCAAACGGG